GACGAACGCUGGCGGCGUGCCUAACACAUGCAAGUCGAACGAGAAUCUUUGGAAUGAUUCUUUCGGGAUGAAUUCCAAAGAGGAAAGUGGCGGACGGGCGAGUAACGCGUGAGUAACCUGCCCAUAAGAGGGGGAUAAUCCAUGGAAACGUGGACUAAUACCGCAUAUUGUAAUUAAGUUGCAUGACUUGAUUAUGAAAGAUUUAUCGCUUAUGGAUGGACUCGCGUCAGAUUAGAUAGUUGGUGAGGUAACGGCUCACCAAGUCAACGAUCUGUAGCCGAACUGAGAGGUUGAUCGGCCGCAUUGGGACUGAGACACGGCCCAGACUCCUACGGGAGGCAGCAGUGGGGAAUAUUGCGCAAUGGGGGCGAACCCUGACGCAGCAACGCCGCGUGCAGGAAGAAGUAUUUCGGUAUGUAAAGCUCUAUCAGCAGGAAAGAAAAUGACGGUACCUGACUAAGAAGACCCCGGCUAACUACGUGCCAGCAGCCG
RNAcentral lists this ribosomal RNA (492 nucleotides) under uncultured bacterium. Its description in RNAcentral is "bacterial SSU rRNA". It matches the Rfam family "Bacterial small subunit ribosomal RNA", at positions 28 to 517 of the family's 1533-position model. The record is from RNAcentral.